AAACCGACACAGGUGGUCAGGUAGAGAAUACCAAGGCGCUUGAGAGAACUCGGGUGAAGGAACUAGGCAAAAUGGUGCCGUAACUUCGGGAGAAGGCACGCUGAUAUGUAGGUGAAGCGACUUGCUCGUGGAGCUGAAAUCAGUCGAAGAUACCAGCUGGCUGCAACUGUUUAUUAAAAACACAGCACUGUGCAAACACGAAAGUGGACGUAUACGGUGUGACGCCUGCCCGGUGCCGGAAGGUUAAUUGAUGGGGUUAGCGGUAACGCGAAGCUCUUGAUCGAAGCCCCGGUAAACGGCGGCCGUAACUAUAACGGUCCUAAGGUAGCGAAAUUCCUUGUCGGGUAAGUUCCGACCUGCACGAAUGGCGUAAUGAUGGCCAGGCUGUCUCCACCCGAGACUCAGUGAAAUUGAACUCGCUGUGAAGAUGCAGUGUACCCGCGGCAAGACGGAAAGACCCCGUGAACCUUUACUAUAGCUUGACACUGAACAUUGAGCCUUGAUGUGUAGGAUAGGUGGGAGGCUUUGAAGUGUGGACGCCAGUCUGCAUGGAGCCGACCUUGAAAUACCACCCUUUAAUGUUUGAUGUUCUAACGUUGGCCCGUAAUCCGGGUUGCGGACAGUGUCUGGUGGGUAGUUUGACUGGGGCGGUCUCCUCCUAAAGAGUAACGGAGGAGCACGAAGGUUGGCUAAUCCUGGUCGGACAUCAGGAGGUUAGUGCAAUGGCAUAAGCCAGCUUGACUGCGAGCGUGACGGCGCGAGCAGGUGCGAAAGCAGGUCAUAGUGAUCCGGUGGUUCUGAAUGGAAGGGCCAUCGCUCAACGGAUAAAAGGUACUCCGGGGAUAACAGGCUGAUACCGCCCAAGAGUUCAUAUCGACGGCGGUGUUUGGCACCUCGAUGUCGGCUCAUCACAUCCUGGGGCUGAAGUAGGUCCCAAGGGUAUGGCUGUUCGCCAUUUAAAGUGGUACGCGAGCUGGGUUUAGAACGUCGUGAGACAGUUCGGUCCCUAUCUGCCGUGGGCGCUGGAGAACUGAGGGGGGCUGCUCCUAGUACGAGAGGACCGGAGUGGACGCAUCACUGGUGUUCGGGUUGUCAUGCCAAUGGCACUGCCCGGUAGCUAAAUGCGGAAGAGAUAAGUGCUGAAAGCAUCUAAGCACGAAACUUGCCCCGAGAUGAGUUCUCCCUGACUCCUUGAGGGUCCUGAAGGAACGUUGAAGACGACGACGUUGAUAGGCCGGGUGUGUAAGCGCAGCGAUGCGUUGAGCUAACCGGUACUAAUGAACCGUGAGGCUUAACCUU
Molecule: ribosomal RNA, 1299 nt
Filed under: Escherichia coli
Lineage: Bacteria; Pseudomonadati; Pseudomonadota; Gammaproteobacteria; Enterobacterales; Enterobacteriaceae
Also listed under: 2 other names
Description: partial 23S ribosomal RNA
Rfam family: Bacterial large subunit ribosomal RNA
Source: RNAcentral